GUAAGGGCCCAAUCGAGAAACACUUAACUGACAAUGGACUUUGGUAGACACCAUCCACAUCUGAGCUUUCCUGUGAACGUUCAAACUAACACGUAAACAAUGGCAUCAGUCUGCAAAAAGCUGAAAUCAUUCAUAGACAGGUGAUUUGCCUAGGUGGCUAAAGACUCCAUCUUGUGGCUAUGAUCUUGCACAGGAGAACAAAGGGAUUUCCUCCCACGAGAGAGAAUAUAAAAGGCCCUAAAAAAUCCCUCCAUUUUAUCUUCAGCUGGCUCAAGAGAUAGCCUCUCCACACCAAAGAGAUGCCUGAAAGAAACUGGAACAAAGAACAGUAACUACGGGGGUGUGAGUGAUUGCUGAACCCAGACUAGGAAGGAGUCUAGUCUGUGAAAGAAGCUUAUUGGAACAUCUCUGAAGCAGAAGAGUUUUUGAGAAGAGACCCCACUUAUUUGGCCAUACUGCAUUCCUUAAUACAAUCCAAAUCAGCAAUUUCCUCACCCUUCUAAUUCAGGGUACAGAUGCCCACAAAGGCAAGUUUAAUUGCAUACAUAUUCUCCUCAGAAGUCCAUAAUUCCACCUCUAUCCAAGGAAGAUGAAGAGCAGAUUUAGAAUGACCCUCCUCCGGAAGGACAGAUGCAGUCUCCUCCGGGUGAGGCUGUUGCAUCUUCUACUCCAACAGUAGUUGACUUCAAAGCUUACCAAGAGCUGUUAAAGAGGAUAUUGGAGACAUCAGAAAUUCCUUUGGAACUUGUGCAAGAAAAGUCCAUAUGAAUAAUUUGAUAUCCUACAAUCUUCUACUCAAAAUAAGGUAGCCUUACCUAUUUAGUGAAGGUAUCCUUGACCCAGCAAAAGAAUUAUGGGCAACACCGUUUUCUAUAUUAGCGACUUCCAAAUAAGUAGAUAGGAAAUGUCAUCAAGUUCCUUCUGUGGGAGCUGAAUAUGUCUAUACUCACCUGAAUCCUUCAUCCUCAGUAAUUACUGCUGUUCAUGAGAAAUCCAAACAGAUUUCCAGAUCUGCAACAAAGAAGAAGGAAUUAAAAAAAAAUUUAAAAAAACCCUAGAUCUGUGGGGGUGGGGUGGGGGGAACACUUUCUCUUUGGCCUCUCUUCAGGUCAGAAUUUUUAACUAUCCAGCAAUAAUAACCAAAUAUAGUUACAUACAAUGGGUCAGAGUGUCAAGUUUUCAAGAUAACUCUUCUCUCAAUUCAGAGGGAAGUUUUACUUCCUUAUGCUCUGACAGCUAAAGUACUAAAAUCUCGUUACAAGCAGCUCUGGAUGCAGUGGAUACAGGAGCAUAAACAAGAGGUAUUCUUGGCUUUCAGCAUCAGGUCUAACAAAAGAGGUUCAGACUACAAUACAGGAUUUACCCUGUAAGGGUCAGGAUCUGUUUAGUUCCAAGACGAAUGAUACAUUACAUUCUUUAAAGGACUCAAGAGCUACUUUAAGACCCCAUGGCUUUUAUAUCCCAUCUUUCAAGAAGAAACAAUAUAGACCACAAAUUUAUACUGAAGAGUCCUCAACCCUCUACUUCUGGUUACGUCUUUCACCAGAGAACUUUCUUUCAACAGAGUAGACAGACCAAGAUUGCAGAAGAGAAAAUCAUUUAAUUCCUCUUAUAUCUCAUCUCAGUUUGGUCACUCUCAGAAUAAACCAUUUUGAGGAUAUGGUCAAAGUUACAGAUCAAGUAUAUUCUUUCUCUACUUUUGAUUCCCACCUAGCCUUCAAGGAGGCUUGGACUGGCAUAACUAUGGACCAAUGGGUACUUCAGGUCAUUCAAGAUGGUUAAGCUAUAUAAUUCCAGUCCAUUCCUCCUCCUACCCUCCUUACUCAUCCCUGUUCAGGGACCACUCUCAUAAGGUGGUCAUGCAACAAGAGAAACUUGAUGUUAUAAUGGGGUCUGAUAGAAAGAGUUCCUCCCCAAUUUGUGGAGACUAUUUUAUUCUCCAUACUUCCUGAUUCCAACAAAGAAAGGGGAUUGGAGUCUGAUUUUUCAACCUCUGACACUAAACAUGACAUCAGAUUUCACAUAACACUCAUUUCUCUCAAACCCUCCCUAGAUCAUAUUGACUGGUUCAGUAUCCUUUACUUGCAAGAUGUGUACUAUCUUGUACAGAUUCAUCAGGCACCCAGGAAGUUUUUCCAUUUUGUAGUAUUAGUUAAAUGUUACUUGUUCAAAGUUCUGCUGUCUGAGCAGUCAAUGACACUUCAAGUCUUCAGAUGAUUUACUACUUUUUGUGAUCUGUCAGUUAUCCAGCAUUUAAUCCAUUUAACUUAUGUAGAAAGGCAGACUCACUGCUGAAGCACCCCUUCAUGGCUGUGAGGUGUAGCAGUGCACCUUAUGGGUGCUCUGGUCCUGCCUAUUCUUGUGGCUGAGUUCUCCGGUCAGGUCGUGUUUUGUUUACAACCUUUCCAAGGUAACAAAGUCCAGCACAAUAAAAUAUAUUUCUGCCCCCUUCUUGAGAUAUUCUUUGGCUUAUCCUUAAGGCUCGGUCUUCAGCCACAUUAUGGGCUCAAUAGUUCUUAGUGGGCUUGUACACCCUUUUCUGAGUGCUGGAAGGGAACACAGACUCACCUGCUGCUCUGGGUUUCAGAUAGGGUUGCUAGCAGUCGUUAUUACAAGGGAUAUCCCUUAUUUUUUCAUCUCUAUACAGCAAGAUCCGGAGUUGCUGAUUGCAGCAAAAAGCAUCAAGAAAUGCCCUUGGCGAAUGUAGGUGAGUACUGCUUAUUAGAUGAUGAUGAUCUGAUAUUGGGAUGUGGGUGUGGCAGGGGUGCUAAGAAAGCCAUUCCUUAUUUUUGAAAUGCAGUGUUGGCAACCCUAGUUCCAGCCCAGGGACUCUGUAUUAAGCAGUUAAGUCUGCUCCUUCAGAUGUGCUGCCAUUUCCCUGGGCCACUUCCUACAUCCGACCCCUGCCUUUUGCUGCUUAACACAGCAUCUUCUCUGGCUCCCAGAUUCUGGCUUCUUCCUACGUUCUCCCACUUCCUUUCCCUUGCUGGAAUACCAACCCCUCAGGACCUCUUCUCUGCACUUUACCCCCUUUUCAGGGCCUACCACGCAGAUUAAUUCUGUCCCAAUGGCCUUCUUCAGUCUGUUUUUUCCCAGGGCCUUCUUAGAGAGCAAGAAUUCCCUACCUCUUCUCUUCUGGAUUUCCCCCAUACAACUUUUUUUUUUCUUUUAUGAAGAAGACCCACCUCCUCCCCAGCUGUGUCUAAUAA
Molecule: long non-coding RNA, 3209 nt
Organism: Dermochelys coriacea (leatherback sea turtle)
Lineage: Eukaryota; Metazoa; Chordata; Testudines; Dermochelyidae
Exons: 2
Source: RefSeq, a predicted model, not a curated record